AUUGAACGCUGGCGGCAUGCCUUACACAUGCAAGUCGAACGGCAGCACGGGGGCAACCCUGGUGGGCGAGUGGCGAACGGGUGAGUAAUGCAUCGGAACGUGCCCAGUAGUGGGGGAUAACCAGUCGAAAGAUUGGCUAAUACCGCAUACGACCUACGGGUGAAAGCGGGGGAUCGCAAGACCUCGCGCUAUCGGAGCGGCCGAUAUCAGAUUAGGUAGUUGGUGGGGUAAAGGCCUACCAAGCCUACGAUCUGUAGCUGGUCUGAGAGGACGACCAGCCACACUGGGACUGAGACACGGCCCAGACUCCUACGGGUGGCUG
This 322-nucleotide ribosomal RNA is filed under the name uncultured Pseudomonadota bacterium. Its description in RNAcentral is "bacterial SSU rRNA". It matches the Rfam family "Bacterial small subunit ribosomal RNA", at positions 30 to 351 of the family's 1533-position model. Lineage: Bacteria; Pseudomonadati; Pseudomonadota. The record is from RNAcentral.